Molecule: RNA transcript, 2290 nt
Organism: Lycium barbarum (goji berry)
Lineage: Eukaryota; Viridiplantae; Streptophyta; Magnoliopsida; Solanales; Solanaceae
Exons: 10
Source: RefSeq, a predicted model, not a curated record
UUCCUUGUCAAGCACACUUUCACUUUGAUAUUCAAAAACCCAACAAAUCCGGCAGUUACACGUUAUAUAUUUUGUACAUUCAUCACUUCCCGCUACUCUUUCUCUCUCUAAAAAAUUCUUACUAUUAAACCCUAGUUCUACUCUAAAACGGUCAGUUACAUUCAAUUUUAUUACUACUCUCUUUCUCUCUCUACAUUUAGUUUAAGGAUAUUCUUUGGCCGCAAGAUCAUGAUUCAAGUUAAGGAGGAAGCUCCGACUCUGGAAUUUGGUGGAUUCACUUCUUGUUCAUCUUUCUCUGAUAGCAGUUAUGAGGCUAGCACUCCGAGAUGCUCCUCCGAGCCUGGUUCCAGUUGCCGAAGGAGCUCAGUUCCGACUAAACGUUCUUCUCAGGCAGGCUGGACAGAAGAAGAGGAUAGUAUGUUGACUGAAGUGGUGAAAAGGUUCAAAGGGAAAAACUGGAAAAGAAUAGCUGAGUGCGUGAAUGGAAGGACCGAUGUGCAGUGCUUGCAUCGCUGGCAGAAGGUUCUGAAUCCUGAGCUUGUAAAGGGUCCUUGGACAAAGGAGGAGGAUGACCAGAUUAUUGAGUUAGUUGGGAAAUAUGGCAGUAAGAAGUGGUCUGUUAUAGCAAAGUCUUUGCCUGGUCGCAUUGGCAAGCAAUGUCGGGAAAGGUGGCACAACCAUCUUGACCCUACAAUAAAAAAAGAAGCCUGGACUGAACAAGAAGAAUUGGUCCUAUGCCACUAUCACCAAAUGUACGGGAACAAGUGGGCUGAAAUAGCCAGGUUUCUGCCCGGAAGGACUGAUAAUGCAAUUAAAAAUCACUGGAAUUCCACAGCGAAGAAAAGAACAAACUUGAAUUUACUAAGUAGGUUGGAUAUCCGAAGUGAGGGAUCUCCGGAUUUCUCAAGUCACAAGAAAAAACUAGAGAUCAAGAAGCUUCCAAUACAGGCUCAUAACGCAGAAACAUUUUUUUUGAGCGAGCAGACUGGAGUAGAUAAUGUUGCUGAUGCUUGCUUAACUGAUCUGAGAAUUGGAUAUGCUUAUUCUCCGCGAAAUAUUUUGGAUAAGGAUACUUCUUUAUUUGGAGCCUGUAAAUCAUCAGAAGACAAUGUGAGGGAUCUCAUAAAGCCACUAGUUGGAAUACAAUUUGGCAAGGCAGAGAUUAUUCCUAUUGGUGAGACAGAUAAUCCAUGCCACUCCAAUUUAAAUCGCUCUAAAAAUUCACAUCCUCUCUUGGCCUCUUCUUUAGAUUUUCCUUUGGAUCCGUCGCACCACACCAGAUGGAGUAGUUCUCAAGUUGAGGCUGUUCCUCCGACUACUUUUGGGAGAAUGUAUGAAUCUCCCAAAAGGUCUAUGCACGCAACUGUUGAUGAUCCUGGCCAUGAUUUUUUGAGUUUGUCAUUGGCUGGCUUCACCGAGGUUCAUUCCCAAAGUAACAAGAAGAAUAAAACAUAUGAUGCACAAUCUUCUUUGCCUCUCAAGCAGCCUGGUUGCUUAUAUUAUGAACCACCAAAAUUAAAGGACUUGUUGAUUCCUAUAACGGAUGAAAACCUUAGUAGUGACAACCUUAUCAGGCAACAAAAUGGCCCUCCAUUUUGCUCUACACCUCCUAGUCUUAAAUUAACAGUCUCUGCUAAUGGUAGCAGUCCAGAAUCUGUGUUAAGGAAUUCCGCAAUGAGCUACACAAAAACUCCUUCAAUCAUAAGAAAGAAGACUUUGAGAUUUCCAGAAGCUUCUGGGCAUUCUAGUUGCACGGGCACCACGACUCCCUCAUAUGUUCUCCGUGGUGCUCCUGACGAGGAAGACACCUCAAACCUGAAGGACAUGAUUUCUGUAUGUAAAACAUCAGUUUCAGGAAAAUCUCUCGGAAGGCGGUUGGAAUAUGCCUUUGAUAUGGAAUGGGAUUCCUCUAGAUGUUGCACACCAGUUCCUGCAGCUCCACCUUGUGGACUUACUCUUGGUGCUAUUGGUGCUAAUACAAUGUUGACACCAUACAAACAGAGAGACAAUUCAUUAUAUGGACCAAAUUGGUUUGGCUGAAAAGACACUUAUUCUGCAAAGAGCAACGUGAUAUGUUCCUGCCUAAAUGUUCAUCUGGAUCAGCUGUAUAGGAUUGGUCUGGAGAAGUUUUUGUUGUAGAUUACAAUCGCGGAGAAUUCUCAAACCAUGUCAAUUUUCGAGGUAACAAAGACCAGUGAAACAAUGACAUGCUGAUACACUGAGAAAGGCCAAGUUGAAGCUGAAGAACUAGUCGGAGAUGGAAGCCGUGAUUUUGAUAUAUUCACAUAAA